This 445-nucleotide ribosomal RNA is filed under the name uncultured bacterium. RNAcentral describes it as "bacterial SSU rRNA". It matches the Rfam family "Bacterial small subunit ribosomal RNA", at positions 330 to 792 of the family's 1533-position model. The record is from RNAcentral.
CCCAGACUCCUACGGGAGGCAGCAGUGGGGAAUAUUGCACAAUGGGGGGAACCCUGAUGCAGCGACGCCGCGUGGGUGAAGGAGUACUUCGGUACGUAAAGCCCUAUCAGCAGGAAAGAAAAUGACGGUACCUGACUAAGAAGCCCCGGCUAACUACGUGCCAGCAGCCGCGGUAAUACGUAGGGGGCAAGCGUUAUCCGGAUUUACUGGGUGUAAAGGGAGCGUAGGCGGCCUGCCAAGUCUGAUGUGAAAUACCGGGGCUCAACCCCGGGGCUGCAUUGGAAACUGGCAGGCUGGAGUGCCGGAGAGGCAGGCGGAAUUCCUAGUGUAGCGGUGAAAUGCGUAGAUAUUAGGAGGAACACCAGUGGCGAAGGCGGCCUGCUGGACGGUGACUGACGCUGAGGCUCGAAAGCGUGGGGAGCAAACAGGAUUAGAUACCCCUGUA